AACUGGGAAACUGUCCACCAUGGGCAUGUCCGUGAAUGUAAAGUCCACUGGAAUGUGGCAGCGCUUCGGCGUUCUUUGGGUCAGAGAGGGUGAAAACCCCGUUUACAUUCAUUGUGGGGCGUGUCUGUUGUGUGGGCGUGUUGAAGAGUCGGAUUGUUUGGGAAUGCAAUCCAAAACGGGUGGUAAAUUCCAUCCAAGACUAAAUAUUAGCAAGAGACCGAUAGCGAACAAGUACCGUGAGGGAAAGAUGAUUACCUCUAUUGA
RNAcentral lists this ribosomal RNA (264 nucleotides) under Catenaria anguillulae. Its description in RNAcentral is "partial large subunit ribosomal RNA". It matches the Rfam family "Eukaryotic large subunit ribosomal RNA", at positions 148 to 383 of the family's 3401-position model. Lineage: Eukaryota; Fungi; Blastocladiomycota; Blastocladiomycetes; Blastocladiales; Catenariaceae. The record is from RNAcentral.